Molecule: ribosomal RNA, 537 nt
Filed under: Triticum aestivum (bread wheat)
Lineage: Eukaryota; Viridiplantae; Streptophyta; Magnoliopsida; Poales; Poaceae
Description: partial small subunit ribosomal RNA
Source: RNAcentral
AUGGCCGCGAUGGAGAGCAAGAGCCGGAGGUUCGCGCUGGCGUGCGGCGUCCUCAGCCAGUACGUCAAGGCGGAGCAGAAGAUGUCCUCCUCCGCCGUCGUCGCCCCGCCCCCGCGCGCCCCGCCGGCCACCACGCUCAGCCUCAUGCCCGGCGCCGACGUCGGCCAGGACCACGCCGCGGCGGCCGCUGAGGAGGCGGGCCCGGCCACGCCGCUCACCAUCUUCUACGGCGGCAGGGUAGUCGUCUUCGAGGACUUCCCCGCGGACAAGGCGGCCGAGGUCAUGCGCAUGGCCACCACCGCCGGCGUCGAGCGCGCGGCCGCCACGCCCGCCCCGGCCCCGGCGCUCGCGGACCUGCCCAUCAUGCGCAAGGCCUCCCUGCAGAGGUUCUUCGAGAAGCGCAAGGACCGCCUCGGCGCGCGCGCGCCCUACGCCCGCCCCGCCGCGCCGGCAGCCAACAAGGGCUCGGAGGACAAGUCGGCGUCGUCCUCCUCGUGGCUCGGGCUGGCCAGCGCCGACGGCGCCUUCGCGCUCUGA